Molecule: small RNA, 117 nt
Filed under: Marmota monax (woodchuck)
Lineage: Eukaryota; Metazoa; Chordata; Mammalia; Rodentia; Sciuridae
Source: RNAcentral
GCUGGCUGUGGUAGUACUUUUCUAUAGUCCCAGCUACUAGGGAGGCUGAGACAGAAGGAUCACUUGAGCCUGGGAGUUUGAGGACAGCCUGGGCCAUAUGGUGAGACCCUGUCUCAA